AUUAUUUUGGCAGAUUAGUGCUUUAGAUUUAGAAUCUUAGAAUGUAUUUUUUACAUAUAAUA
Molecule: transfer RNA, 62 nt
Filed under: Coleoptera sp. 18 KM-2017
Lineage: Eukaryota; Metazoa; Arthropoda; Insecta; Coleoptera
Also listed under: 1 other name
Description: tRNA-Leu
Source: RNAcentral